UACAGAGGGUGCAAGCGUUGUUCGGAAUUACUGGGCGUAAAGCGUGCGCAGGCGGUUCGCUAAGACCGAUGUGAAAUCCCCGGGCUUAACCUGGGAACUGCAUUGGUGACUGGCGAGCUAGAGUGUGGCAGAGGGGGGUAGAAUUCCACGUGUAGCAGUGAAAUGCGUAGAGAUGUGGAGGAAUACCGAUGGCGAAGGCAGCCCCCUGGGCUAACACUGACGCUCAUGCACGAAAGCGUGGGGAGCAAACAGG
This 253-nucleotide ribosomal RNA is filed under the name uncultured bacterium. RNAcentral describes it as "partial 16S ribosomal RNA". It matches the Rfam family "Bacterial small subunit ribosomal RNA", at positions 524 to 776 of the family's 1533-position model. The record is from RNAcentral.